GUCCCCGUAGUUUAAUGGUUAUGACGUCAGACUUCUACGAUUACGUACCAUCUGAAGGCUGUGGGUUCGAGUCCCACCGGGGAUG
Phanerochaete carnosa HHB-10118-sp is the source of this 85-nucleotide transfer RNA. It matches the Rfam family "tRNA". Rfam says of the family: Transfer RNA (tRNA) molecules are approximately 80 nucleotides in length. The record is from Rfam. Lineage: Eukaryota; Fungi; Basidiomycota; Agaricomycetes; Polyporales; Phanerochaetaceae.